Molecule: ribosomal RNA, 1492 nt
Filed under: uncultured bacterium
Lineage: Bacteria
Description: bacterial SSU rRNA
Rfam family: Bacterial small subunit ribosomal RNA
Source: RNAcentral
AGAGUUUGAUCCUGGCUCAGGACGAACGCUGGCGGCGUGGAUUAGGCAUGCAAGUUGAGCGACAGACAAGGGCUUGCCCUUGUUAUGGAGCAGCGAACGGGUGAGUAACACGUGAACAAACUGUCCCUACAUUCCGGAUAAUUGGCCGAAAGGCCUUGUAAUACGGGGGAGGAUUCCGAUGAGGCAUCUCAUUGGACGGGAACGAGCAAUCGGUGCAGGGAGGUGUUCGCGGCCUAUCAGUUAGUUGGUGGGGUAACGGCCUACCAAGACGACGACGGGUAGCUGGUCUGAGAGGAUGGUCAGCCACAUUGGAACUGAGAUACUGUCCAGACUCCUACGGGAGGCUGCAGUCGAGAAUCUUGGGCAAUGCACGAAAGUGUGACCCAGCGACGCCGCGUGAAGGAUGAAGGCCCUCUGGGUCGUAAACUUCUUUUAUAGGGAAAGAAAAGCUCGCAAGAGCCUUGACGGUACCCCAUGAAUAAGCCACGGCUAACUACGUGCCAGCAGCCGCGGUAAUACGUAGGUGGCAAGCGUUGUCCGGAUUUACUGGGCGUAAAGCGAACGCAGGCGGAUGGUUAAGUCCAAAGUGAAAGGUAGGAGCUCAACUCCUACACUGCUUGGGAUACUGGCCGUCUUGAGUAGCGGAGAGGGAGAUGGAACGACACGUGUAGCGGUGAAAUGCGUUGAUAUGUGUCGGAACACCAAUGGCGAAAGCAAUCUCCUGGACGCAAACUGACGCUCAUGUUCGAAAGCCAAGGUAGCAAACAGGAUUAGAUACCCUGGUAGUCUUGGCCAUAAACGAUGUUCACUAGGUGUUGGGGCUUUGCCUCGGUGCCGCAACUAACGCAUUAAGUGAACCGCCUGGGAACUACGAUCGCAAGAUUAAAACUCAAAGGAAUUGGCGGGGGCCCGCACAAGCGGUGGAGCAUAUGGCUUAAUUCGAUGCAACGCGAAGAACCUUACCAGGGCUUGACAUGUAUCUGCAAGCUACCGAAAAGUAGUCGCCUUCGAGGGUGAUACACAGGUGGUGCAUGGCUGUCGUCAGCUCGUGUUGUGAAAUGUUGGGUUAAGUCCCGCAACGAGCGCAACCCUCAUGUUCUGUUGCCAGCGAGUAAUGUCGGGAACUCGGAACAAACUGCCUCUGUAAAGAGGAGGAAGGUGGGGAUGACGUCAAGUCAUCAUGCCCCUUACGCCCUGGGCUGCACAUAUGCUACAAUGGCCGGUACAAAGGGCUGCUAACCUGCGAAGGCAUGCAAAUCCCAAAAAGCCGGUCUCAGUUCGGAUUGGAGUCUGCAACUCGACUCCAUGAAGUUGGAAUCGCUAGUAACCGCCGGUCAGCAAUACGGCGGUGAAUACGUUCCCGGGCCUUGCACACACCGCCCGUCACAUGACGGAAGUCGGUUCUACCCGAAGCCACCGCGCCAACCGCUAGGAGGCAAGUGUCGAAGGUAGAGUCGGUAACUGGCGUGAAGUCGUAACAAGGUAACCGUAA